AGACGUUCGGCUUGGAAAGUUUUAAAUUGAAGUUGGACACGCAAGCUAACACUCAAACUUAGGCUGGAAAAACUACUGGAGACUCAGACAUGUCACAUGACCUGCAGCACCAGACUGUGGCCACUAGGUGGACACGACCCCACUUUCUCUGUCAUCGAUUGUGUGGCGUCAGGACGAAGAUCCUGCCUGGUGGACGGCUGGUGGGUUGUUAUCUUGGGGGUGUUUCCUGCUGCAACAAGUCCUGCACCUCCCUACAUGUGCUCUGUGUGUGCAGAGACUUUGGACACUCAGCAGCAGCAGCAGCAG
Molecule: long non-coding RNA, 306 nt
Organism: Solea senegalensis (Senegalese sole)
Lineage: Eukaryota; Metazoa; Chordata; Actinopteri; Pleuronectiformes; Soleidae
Exons: 3
Source: RefSeq, a predicted model, not a curated record